CCCAUUUUAAGAAAAUCUUAAUCUAAUUGCCUUCCAAGCAAUUAGAUUAAGAUUUUCUUAAAAUGGGUA
This 69-nucleotide transfer RNA is filed under the name Cittarium pica. RNAcentral describes it as "tRNA-Gly". Lineage: Eukaryota; Metazoa; Mollusca; Gastropoda; Trochida; Tegulidae. The record is from RNAcentral.